RNAcentral lists this ribosomal RNA (253 nucleotides) under uncultured bacterium. Its description in RNAcentral is "partial 16S ribosomal RNA". It matches the Rfam family "Bacterial small subunit ribosomal RNA", at positions 524 to 776 of the family's 1533-position model. The record is from RNAcentral.
UACGUAGGGGGCUAGCGUUGUCCGGAAUUAUUGGGCGUAAAGAGCUCGUAGGCGGCUUGUCGCGUCUGCUGUGAAAACGCGGGGCUUAACUCCGCGCUUGCAGUGGGUACGGGCAGGCUUGAGUGUAGUAGGGGAGACUGGAAUUCCUGGUGUAGCGGUGGAAUGCGCAGAUAUCAGGAGGAACACCGAUGGCGAAGGCGACUUGCUGGACUUCAACUGACGCUGAGGAACGAAAGCGUGGGUAGCAAACAGG